This 441-nucleotide ribosomal RNA is filed under the name uncultured bacterium. RNAcentral describes it as "partial 16S ribosomal RNA". It matches the Rfam family "Bacterial small subunit ribosomal RNA", at positions 338 to 795 of the family's 1533-position model. The record is from RNAcentral.
CCUACGUGUGGCAGCAGUGGGGAAUAUUGGGCAAUGGGCGCAAGCCUGACCCAGCACCGCCGCGUGAAGGAUGAAGGUUUUCGGAUUGUAAACUUCUGUCGCGAGGGACGCAGAAUGACGGUACCUCGUACGAAAGCCCCGGCUAACUACGUGCCAGCAGCCGCGGUAAUACGUAGGGGGCACGCUUUGUCCGGAAUGACUGGGCUUAAAGGGAGUGUAGGCGGCUUAUCAAGUUAGCUGGGAAAUCACGCGGCUUAACCGCGGAACUGCAUCUAAACCUGGUGAGCUGGAGUGCAGGAGAGGUGAGGGGAAUUCCUAGUGUAGCGGGGGAAUGCGGAGAUAGUAGGAGGAACACCAGAGGCGAAGGCGAAUCACUGGACUGUAACUGACGCUGAGGCUCGAAAGCGUGGGGAGCAAACAGGAUUAGAUACCCCUGUAGUC